GAAAUGCGAUAAGUAGUGUGAAUUGCAGAAUUCAGUGAAUCAUCGAAUCUUUGAACGCACAUUGCGCCCUUUGGUAUUCCUUAGGGCAUGCCUGUUCGAGCGUCAUCUAAACCUUCAAGCCCUGCUUGGUGUUGGGUGCCUGUCCCGCCUCCGCGCGCGGACUCACCUCAAAUCCAUGGCGGCCCCCGCGUCGGGCACGAGCGCAGCAGAAACGCGAACUCGUGAGCCCGUCCGGGCGGCUCCCAGAAGCUACACCCACCCAGUUUGACCUCGGAUCAGGUAGGGAUACCCGCUGAACUUAAGC
RNAcentral lists this unclassified non-coding RNA (304 nucleotides) under plant metagenome. RNAcentral describes it as "partial contains 5.8S ribosomal RNA, internal transcribed spacer 2, and large subunit ribosomal RNA". The stretch from base 1 to 105 matches the Rfam family "5.8S ribosomal RNA", at positions 50 to 154 of the family's 154-position model. The record is from RNAcentral.